RNAcentral lists this ribosomal RNA (488 nucleotides) under Sesamia sp. SEZAG8223. Its description in RNAcentral is "partial 16S large subunit ribosomal RNA". The record is from RNAcentral. Lineage: Eukaryota; Metazoa; Arthropoda; Insecta; Lepidoptera; Noctuidae.
UGUCUUUUUGAAAAUAAUAUAAGGUCUAAUCUGCCCACUGAUUUUUAUAAUUGAAGGGCUGCAGUAUUUUGACUGUACAAAGGUAGCAUAAUCAUUAGUCAUUUAAUUGAUGACUUGUAUGAAGGAUUGGAUGAAAUAUAAACUGUCUCUUAAUUAUAUAGUAUAGAAUUUAAUUUUUUAUUUAAAAAGUUAAAAUAUAUUAAAAAGACGAGAAGACCCUAUAGAGUUUUAUAGUUAAAUUUAAUUAAAAUUAUUUAUAAAAUUAAAAUUAAAAUUAAUUUAAUUAUUCUGUUGGGGUGAUAGAAAAAUAUGAAAAACUUUUUAUAUAUUUAUAUUAAGAACAUUAAUAAAUGAUUAAAUGAUCCAAUAUUAUUGAUUAUAAGAAAAAAUUACCUUAGGGAUAACAGCGUAAUUUUUUUUUUUAGUUCAUAUAAGAAAAAGAGUUUGCGACCUCGAUGUUGGAUUAAGAUAAAAUUUAAAUGUAGAAG